Molecule: long non-coding RNA, 508 nt
Organism: Papaver somniferum (opium poppy)
Lineage: Eukaryota; Viridiplantae; Streptophyta; Magnoliopsida; Ranunculales; Papaveraceae
Exons: 3
Source: RefSeq, a predicted model, not a curated record
GGUGGAGGUGUUCACUUCAGGUGGUCUAGCUGCUAGAUUAUAUUCGAAGAAAUCAUAAUCAGAAAAUACCUUCUUAUCUAGCUAGAGUACGAGUUUGUUGCUGGUUAUUGUUGUCGUAGCCACUUCCUUGGGUAUGGUGCUGCUCAUCACAGGUGUAGGUGUGGGUGUGGGCAGAAGCCAGAAAUAUUUGCAGACUACAUUAAAAGAUAAUAUUCAUCGCCUGUCUCCAGUAUUAGGGACAUAAUUCUCUUCUAUGAUGAAGCAUUUAAGGAUGCAAACAUAUAUGUAGGAAAGUAGGUAACAUUUGGGUUUCAACUGGCUUGAUGAUCAAUAUAUAUACUCUGCACGAAUACUACUACAUAAAACCAAGCUAGCCUUUUUCAUUUUCUUUUGUCAUAUAUAUAAGCAGCAUUGUUAUUGGUUUAUCACCAAGUUAGAGAGCCUUGGUAUAACUAGUUAACCAAGGGUGAUUCUUUUUCCAUGUAUCUUAAUAAUUUGUUUCCUAACA